This is a long non-coding RNA of Pseudopipra pipra, 205 nucleotides long. RefSeq lists it as uncharacterized. NCBI's taxonomy places the organism in Eukaryota, Metazoa, Chordata, Aves, Passeriformes, Pipridae. The record is from RefSeq and is a predicted model, not a curated record. The transcript is spliced from 2 exons.
UUUUGCAGACAAACCCAGAGCUCCUCAAAGGCAAGCCUGUCAGGAAGAGACGGAAACAAAUCCAGUGUAGAAGCAGCUGUGCUCUGCAUGAACGGACACUGUGCUUAGGGACAUAGUUUAGUGGUGGACCUGGCACUAUUCAGUUAAUGGUUGGACUUGAUAUCAGACUUCUUUUCCAACCUUAAUGAAUUAAUUAUUUUAAGGA